RNAcentral lists this unclassified non-coding RNA (300 nucleotides) under uncultured Phoma. RNAcentral's name for it is "sequence contains ITS1". The stretch from base 1 to 105 matches the Rfam family "5.8S ribosomal RNA", at positions 50 to 154 of the family's 154-position model. Lineage: Eukaryota; Fungi; Ascomycota. The record is from RNAcentral.
GAAAUGCGAUAAGUAGUGUGAAUUGCAGAAUUCAGUGAAUCAUCGAAUCUUUGAACGCACAUUGCGCCCCUCGGUAUUCCGUGGGGCAUGCCUGUUCGAGCGUCAUUUACCCCCUCAAGCUCUGCUUGGUGUUGGGCGCCUGUCCCGCCUCGUGCGCGGACUCGCCUAGAAGACAUUGGCAGCGGUCGUGCCAGCUUCUCGCGCAGCACAUUGCGCUUCUCGAGGCUUUGGCGGAUCAGCGUCCAGCAAGUCCAUCUCCAGUUUGACCUCGGAUCAGGUAGGGAUACCCGCUGAACUUAA